This 638-nucleotide long non-coding RNA is filed under the name Betta splendens (Siamese fighting fish). RNAcentral describes it as "lncRNA (ENSBSLG00000007097.1)". The record is from RNAcentral. Lineage: Eukaryota; Metazoa; Chordata; Actinopteri; Anabantiformes; Osphronemidae.
GUGUGCCUCAUAGAUAUUGAACCCUGUCAUAUCAUAAUGGAAGCAAUGUUGACUGAUUAUUCAUCUUCUUCUGUAUGGUACUAAAAGAAAGCUGAGAGAAAAAUGUGUUCCUGGGUUUUUAUAUUUCUGAUGGGAACAUUUUACACCUGCUCUAAGGUCUCUGUACUAGGUGAGUCAUUCAGCUAUUUUAUUCAUAAACUAAUUGAUUAAAAAAAACAGAUAAAAUAUUACAAAAUUGUUUUAGGAGAUGUCUACAUUGCUGAGUUGUUAGUGAAAGGAAAAAUCAAGCUUGAUGCUCAGGGCAUGCUGUCAGUUCUGAAUACAACAGCAAGCCUGCAACUGAACAAUACACCUGCAGUCAAAUACACGGUGACCUUCUUACAAGUGACAGCAGAGUGCCUUGUCAUUGGACCUGACACUAGUUGUACCUGCUCUACUGGCUACACUUGGGGCAAUGACGUGUGCUACAAUUACAGCUGUUGUCAUGAUCAUUUGUGCACAGCCCAUGUGUCCCACAUAAUACCACUCUGCGUUCCCAAAGUCAAUGGUAACAUUUGUUGUUAUAAGUUUUGUGUAGCCUAGUCACACUAUAACUUUGUUGGUAAAGCUUUUAUCUACAGGCCAUAAAUCACAGCAUA